This 76-nucleotide transfer RNA is filed under the name Haloarcula pellucida. Its description in RNAcentral is "Halomicroarcula pellucida tRNA-Gly". Lineage: Archaea; Methanobacteriati; Methanobacteriota; Halobacteria; Halobacteriales; Haloarculaceae. The record is from RNAcentral.
CUUCGGCGUAGCCGACGAGGCCGUCGCGGUUGCCGACUGCGACGACACAGCGGAACUUCACCCGCCGGCCGGAGUC